CUUCGGGUAUAUGAUUAAAUCGGAAUUGCCACUGUGUCCGGGUUUUGCUACUCUCAGAAUCUUCAUAGCUGCCGCGCUUUGUGAGAAACCAGGGUCAAUCCAGCGCCCCAUCUCCUCAGGUAACUCUUCGAGAAGAUGCUGGUUCGCGCAAGACUCUGUUUUUACGAGAGGGUUUUGAAUGUUACAAGAGCCAAUGCUGUUGUGUAUAGAAGUUUUGGUGCCAUGACAAGUCCCGUUUUUAAAGAUAAUGAGGGUAGUAAAGUUAGAGGCGGUGGGGGAGUUUCAAAUGAUGAUUACUUUGCGACUGUACAUCAUAUAUCAAAUGUGGUUCGUCGUGACAUUUACAUGGAGAGAACGCUCAAUAAAAUGUGUAUAUCUCGUAUAGUCAAUUCUGAGUUGGUGUAUCGUGUGCUCCGUAAUUGUUGUCAUUGUGGAUCUGAGUCGUUUCGGUUUUUUAAUUGGGCGCGGACCCAACAUCCUCAGUAUGACCCAACCACACUUGAGUUUGAAGAACUUCUGAAGACUCUUGCUCGGACUAAGUGUUGGGAAACUAUGUGGAAGGUUGCGCACCAAAUGAAGACCCAAGAAAUACCGUUAUCACCAUCAGUUGUAUCAUACAUCAUAGACCAAUAUGGUAAACAUGGUCUCAUAGACCAGGCUGUUGAGCUCUUCAAUCGACUGAAGAACUUCAACUGCCCCCAAACUACUGAAAUAUACAACUCAUUGCUAUAUGCCCUCUGUGAGGUCAAGAACUUCCAAGGUGCUUAUGCAUUGAUUCGGAGAAUGGUCCGAAAAGGUGGAGUCCCAGACAAAAAGACAUACUCUGUUCUAGUGAAUGGAUGGUGCUCUGCAGGGAAGUUGAAAGAAGCUCAAGAAUUUCUUGAAGAGAUGAGCCAGAAGGGGUUCAACCCACCUGUCCGUGGCCGGGAUCUAUUGAUUGAUGGGUUGUUAAAUGCAGGCUAUAUCGAAUCAGCAAAAGGGUUGGUGAGGAAAAUGACCAAAGAAGGUUUUGUGCCAGAUGUUGCAACGUUUAACUCUCUAGCAGAAGCUGUAUGCAAAUCUGGGGAGUUAGGUUUUUGCAUUGAUAUUUACCAUGCAGUUUGUAGAUUGGGGUUUUCUCCGGAUAUUGAUACCUAUAAGAUUAUGAUCAUGGCAGCUUCAAAAGCAGAUAAGAUUGAUGACGCUAUUGCAGUUCUUCAUAAAUCUAUCGAGGACGGACACAAGCCGUUUCCUAGUUUGUACGCUCCUAUAUUGAAGGGUCUGUGUAGGAGAGGACAGUUUGACGAUGCUUAUAGCUUUUUCAGUGAUAUGAAGGUAAAGGGGCAUCCACCAAAUCGACCAGUUUAUACCAUGCUAAUAAGAAUGUCUGUACGUGGCAGUAGAUUUGUUGAGGCUGGUAAUUAUUUGGUAGAGAUGACUGAGCUAAACUUAUCACCCUUGUCUAGAAACUUCGACAUGGUUACUGAUGGAUUAAAGACUUGUGGAAAGCAUGAUCUUGCCAAGAAAAUAGAGCAGUUGGAAAUAUCUCUCCGUGGAAUCUAAAUUAAAGUUUGUACAUUUAAUUCUGGAUACAGAAAUAGAAUUGAUAUACAUCCUCUUCUUCUCUAUUCUAUUAGAUUUCCAACUUCUACAUUUUUUAAAGGGUUUGGCGGACAUCUUACAACUUAGUGGCUUGGUGAAUGGUGAUCAAUUAAGACUACCGUAAUAGAUAGUGAGUACGGGGGCUGCUGUAGUUAGCCCUUGAGUACCUUUUCAAGCGAUUCUUUGGUUAGGAGGCUGUGCUUGUUUGGUUACCAAUAGGAAGUUAAAUCCUAUGUAAUUUGAAAUUACUAUGGAAAUUAUAAUAAAUGGGAAGUUAAAAUUUGUGUUUGGUUGAUAGAUAGGUUUUAACUUCCUACAGGAAGUGCAAGUUACCAAGGGGGGUCUAGGUCAAUGACUUCCUAUGUUUUGUAGGCAUUUAAAAUUCCAAGGAACUUACACUUCCCCAAUUAAUGUCAACCAAACAGUUUCAUCAAAUACUACUUCCUAGGAACUUCUACUCCCCACAUAUCUAGAUGUCAACC
RNA transcript from Daucus carota subsp. sativus, 2063 nucleotides. It is a transcript of the gene named pentatricopeptide repeat-containing protein At5g18390, mitochondrial, with no coding region annotated. NCBI's taxonomy places the organism in Eukaryota, Viridiplantae, Streptophyta, Magnoliopsida, Apiales, Apiaceae. The transcript has 3 exons. The record is from RefSeq and is a predicted model, not a curated record.